This 72-nucleotide transfer RNA is filed under the name Candidatus Staskawiczbacteria bacterium RIFCSPLOWO2_01_FULL_38_12b. Its description in RNAcentral is "tRNA-Val". It matches the Rfam family "tRNA". Rfam says of the family: Transfer RNA (tRNA) molecules are approximately 80 nucleotides in length. Their secondary structure includes four short double-helical elements and three loops (D, anti-codon, and T loops). Further hydrogen bonds mediate the characteristic L-shaped molecular structure. tRNAs have two regions of fundamental functional importance: the anti-codon, which is responsible for specific mRNA codon recognition, and the 3' end, to which the tRNAs corresponding amino acid is attached (by aminoacyl-tRNA synthetases). tRNAs cope with the degeneracy of the genetic code in two manners: having more than one tRNA (with a specific anti-codon) for a particular amino acid; and 'wobble' base-pairing, i.e. permitting non-standard base-pairing at the 3rd anti-codon position. The record is from RNAcentral. Lineage: Bacteria; Candidatus Staskawicziibacteriota.
GGACGCUUAGCUCAGCGGUAGAGCAUCUCCUUUACACGGAGAGGGUCGGGGGUUCGAAUCCCUCAGCGUUCA